GACGAACGCUGGCGGCGUGCCUAAUACAUGCAAGUUGAGCGCUGAAGGUUGGUACUUGUACCUACUGGAUGAGCAGCGAACGGGUGAGUAACGCGUGGGGAAUCUGCCUUUGAGCGGGGGACAACAUUUGGAAACGAAUGCUAAUACCGCAUAAAAACUUUAAACACAAGUUUUAAGUUUGAAAGAUGCAAUUGCAUCACUCAAUGAUGGUACCGCGUUGUAUUAGCUAGUUGGUGAGGUAAAGGGUCACCAAGGCGAUGAUACAUAGCCGACCUGAGAGGGGGAUCGGCCACAAUGGGACUGAGACACGGCCCAAACUCCUACGGGAAGCAGCAGUAGGGAAUCUUCGGCAAUGGACGAAAGGCUGACCGAGCAACGCCGCGGGAGGGAAGAAGGUUUUCGGAUCGUAAAACUCUGUUGGUAGGGAAGAACGUUGGUGGGAGUGGAAAGCGCAUCAAGUGACGGUAACUACCCAGAAAGGGACGGCUAACUACGUG
RNAcentral lists this ribosomal RNA (497 nucleotides) under uncultured bacterium. RNAcentral's name for it is "partial 16S ribosomal RNA". It matches the Rfam family "Bacterial small subunit ribosomal RNA", at positions 28 to 507 of the family's 1533-position model. The record is from RNAcentral.